This 71-nucleotide transfer RNA is filed under the name Amazona aestiva (blue-fronted amazon). It matches the Rfam family "tRNA". From Rfam's summary of the family: Transfer RNA (tRNA) molecules are approximately 80 nucleotides in length. Their secondary structure includes four short double-helical elements and three loops (D, anti-codon, and T loops). The record is from Rfam by way of RNAcentral. Lineage: Eukaryota; Metazoa; Chordata; Aves; Psittaciformes; Psittacidae.
GCAUUGGUGGUUCAGUGGUAGAAUUCUCGCCUGCCACGCGGGAGGCCCGGGUUCAUUUCCCAGACAAUGCA